GGGAGUAGGUGGACAGCUCACGGCCUUGUGCUGAGGAAAGUCCUCCCUCACUCUGGACCGAGGACCUACACAAGUGGGAGAGGCGGGAGCCUCUGCAGAGGAGCAGAAACGACACAGCCCAUAAAUAAUGCGAUGAUGCAAGUUAUGUUGUUGAGGUCUUUAUGGGAUUUGAUGAAACGGCCAAUCUGCCCUUGGAGCAAGCCUAAACAGUGAGAUCAGUUGUCCAGACUGCUCACAGGUAAGGUGCUAAGUAGAAUGCUGUUUAAAACAGAAGGAGGCUUACGGCCUACACCC
Molecule: RNase P RNA, 294 nt
Filed under: Thermoplasmatota archaeon
Lineage: Archaea; Methanobacteriati; Thermoplasmatota
Description: RNase P RNA component
Rfam family: Archaeal RNase P
About the family: Ribonuclease P (RNase P) is a ubiquitous endoribonuclease, found in archaea, bacteria and eukarya as well as chloroplasts and mitochondria. Its best characterised activity is the generation of mature 5'-ends of tRNAs by cleaving the 5'-leader elements of precursor-tRNAs.
Source: RNAcentral